Molecule: long non-coding RNA, 2428 nt
Filed under: Anas platyrhynchos platyrhynchos (common mallard)
Lineage: Eukaryota; Metazoa; Chordata; Aves; Anseriformes; Anatidae
Description: lncRNA (ENSAPLG00000023528.1)
Source: RNAcentral
UCCCAGUUUAAAAAGGAAAAACCUAGCUGAACAAAGGGUUCAUUAAUAUAGAGAUGAAGUUAUUUAAGAGAAUACCUCUGAAAAACAAAUGUACUAAUGUAUGUUAAAAGACCUGAAAUCUUUUUUUUUCACCUUUCCUAGAAAACCAGUGAAAACUGGGAGUAACUCCUUGAGCAGCUACUUUCGCUUACUAGUAUGUAAUAGAUGGACAGAUGACCUUCCAAAACACACUGUCUAUCUGGCCUGCUAACUGCUUGAAGUUCAGUUUUUGAGGAACACUUCCAUAAGGCCAUUUAUUCACAGUCUAAAAGUUGAUCUUAACACAUAGAUCUUUUUCAGAAUGUAACCUGUUUUUUUCAUUAAUUUUUGCAUCCAAAUAGCUCAUAUAUGAUGUAUUUUCUGUAAUAUAGAGUAUUUCCAUUGCACAGAAGUAAUUGAAAAGACCAUUGUAAUGUUUAAAAUAAUCAUAAAUCCUGUUAUGAGAAGAUUUUGAGAGCAUUGGGUUUGUCUCUGUAUUGACAGAUUACAAUUUUUUUCCAUAACCUCUGUAAACGAACCUCUGUUGUUUGCGUUAAUUGUGUAGAUGGAGUCUUAUUAUUUUAAUAACACUAAUAUAAUGCCAUCUCAGCAGAUGAAGUGGACAGUAUUACUGAGACCAGGCUUCUUGCAUCCUUAUAUUAGUUUGAACUGAGAUGCUAAUAAGCGUUCACUAUAAAUAGCAUGAGUGGCAAAAAUGUUCUAAAAAAAUUAGUAAAGAUACAGUUGAAGCAAGUAAUAGGAAUAUGGUUCUGCAGUUAAUCUCCAGGGAACAGCUUUUUCAUUUAACUUUGGAAUAUUCAGAUGAAUUUUAAAUUGUGUAUAACUGUAUCUCCACAAAGCGCAUCCUACUCAUUGAUGCUAAUGGAGUCAUUUAGAAGACUGAGAAUCUCAACUUUAUCUGAUAGUUUUAUAAACUUGGUUUGACUUGGUUUGACUUGAGGUUUAUGACUCACAUUAAAAGUUGGACAGAUACUAAAACUGAAUCUGCAAUACUAUAGUAGGAAAUCUUCAGGAAUUUUGGAGAUUCAGAUAAGCUGUUCACAGGCUUUCAACUUUCACUGCCCUCAAGUGAAUCUUGGUGACCUGGAAAUCUCCUUCAAAAUCUGAGAAAGUUAAGGAAUUGUCUCUAUCUGAUAUUUAAAGCACAGAAGGUUGAGGCAUAUCUGCACUUAGUCCUGCCAUGGCCUUCCUGAAUGUAAGUGUCCAGAUGCUCAGACUGAAUGGGAGCAGAAAUUGUCUCUCACUUGCACCUUUUUUCUUUUCCAAGCUCAUGGAAACCAACAUUUUCACCUGGGAAGUUUCAUAAACACACCCCAAACUGCUGUCUUGGUAUGAUUUUGAUGCUCGGUGCCUAUUUUCUUUAGGGGGUUAAGGAUCUUGAACUAGUAUCUAUCAACAGGACAUUUCUGCGUGUCCCACAAAGAUGUUACACCUAUAGGUAUGAUAGCAUUUUCACUUCUGGCUCAAGAAGCUAUUGUAUUUUGUUGCUGACAAAUGUCAUGCAGAAGUGAUCACCACUGUUAAUGAUGACGGUAAAUCUGUCCAGUUUUGAACCAGAUUAGAAAGUUCUGCAGAUGUUUUAACACUCUUACAGAGGUAUUGUCUAGCAAGGUAGAUUAAGAUAGUCCCCCUAUCACCUCCACUUAAGUUAUCCCUUAUUUCCAAUAUUUUUAUUGGUUAGUUGCUACAGAUAAAUCUCAUAUGGAAGCACAGAUGAUUAACCAUGCUUUGUGAUUCUUCUGCAGUAGCUGGAUGCUGGACAGGCUUUAAGACAUUCCUUAGCACAGUAAUACCAUUACUGGUCUCCAUUACUUACUUGGCUGGGACUCACCGUACUUACAUGUAAAACGACAUCAGAAUACUUGCAAAAACAUAUGGAUCUAAAAAGCCUUUGCCAUGUAAAUAAUUUUGGAAUUCUUAUUUAAAAGGUUUGGCAGGAAAAAAGAUUCCAUGUAUGUCAGGUUUGUUUUUUUUUAUCAUCUUACUAUAGAGUUGGUUUGUAGACCUCACUUUGUGUUUUAUGUACAUGUAUACAAGUUCUUAUAAUGAAUGUACGCUGCUCUUGGAUAAAGCAAACUAUUGGAAAAGGAAAUGGAUUUUAUUUGUUGUUUAACUACCUUUUUCUGCUGUAUGUGCUUAUUGGAAUAUUUGAUAACAAAGGAAGUAAAUAGGCAAUAUAUAUCAAACUCACUUCUUUCUGAGAACUAGUUAGAUUUCUGAUUUUUGUCUUAUCAAGAGUCAGGACAAAGUCUGCGUAUUGGCAAGAAACCAACAUCAGGAUCUGAGUCCAGGAGAAAUUUAAUGGCAGAAAGGAAUAUCAGAUUUUGUGAAUUUUGUCUAUUUUGCACCAAGUAAUAAAUAAACUGAAACCACGGAUCCUAAGCCCCCU